Molecule: ribosomal RNA, 1286 nt
Filed under: Microbacterium testaceum
Lineage: Bacteria; Bacillati; Actinomycetota; Actinomycetes; Micrococcales; Microbacteriaceae
Description: bacterial SSU rRNA
Rfam family: Bacterial small subunit ribosomal RNA
Source: RNAcentral
CACGUGAGCAACCUGCCCUGGACUCUGGGAUAAGCGCUGGAAACGGCGUCUAAUACUGGAUAUGAGACGUGAUCGCAUGGUCGUGUUUGGAAAGAUUUUUCGGUCUGGGAUGGGCUCGCGGCCUAUCAGCUUGUUGGUGAGGUAAUGGCUCACCAAGGCGUCGACGGGUAGCCGGCCUGAGAGGGUGACCGGCCACACUGGGACUGAGACACGGCCCAGACUCCUACGGGAGGCAGCAGUGGGGAAUAUUGCACAAUGGGCGGAAGCCUGAUGCAGCAACGCCGCGUGAGGGAUGACGGCCUUCGGGUUGUAAACCUCUUUUAGCAGGGAAGAAGCGAAAGUGACGGUACCUGCAGAAAAAGCGCCGGCUAACUACGUGCCAGCAGCCGCGGUAAUACGUAGGGCGCAAGCGUUAUCCGGAAUUAUUGGGCGUAAAGAGCUCGUAGGCGGUUUGUCGCGUCUGCUGUGAAAUCCCGAGGCUCAACCUCGGGCCUGCAGUGGGUACGGGCAGACUAGAGUGCGGUAGGGGAGAUUGGAAUUCCUGGUGUAGCGGUGGAAUGCGCAGAUAUCAGGAGGAACACCGAUGGCGAAGGCAGAUCUCUGGGCCGUAACUGACGCUGAGGAGCGAAAGGGUGGGGAGCAAACAGGCUUAGAUACCCUGGUAGUCCACCCCGUAAACGUUGGGAACUAGUUGUGGGGACCAUUCCACGGUUUCCGUGACGCAGCUAACGCAUUAAGUUCCCCGCCUGGGGAGUACGGCCGCAAGGCUAAAACUCAAAGGAAUUGACGGGGACCCGCACAAGCGGCGGAGCAUGCGGAUUAAUUCGAUGCAACGCGAAGAACCUUACCAAGGCUUGACAUAUACGAGAACGGGCCAGAAAUGGUCAACUCUUUGGACACUCGUAAACAGGUGGUGCAUGGUUGUCGUCAGCUCGUGUCGUGAGAUGUUGGGUUAAGUCCCGCAACGAGCGCAACCCUCGUUCUAUGUUGCCAGCACGUAAUGGUGGGAACUCAUGGGAUACUGCCGGGGUCAACUCGGAGGAAGGUGGGGAUGACGUCAAAUCAUCAUGCCCCUUAUGUCUUGGGCUUCACGCAUGCUACAAUGGCCGGUACAAAGGGCUGCAAUACCGUAAGGUGGAGCGAAUCCCAAAAAGCCGGUCCCAGUUCGGAUUGAGGUCUGCAACUCGACCUCAUGAAGUCGGAGUCGCUAGUAAUCGCAGAUCAGCAACGCUGCGGUGAAUACGUUCCCGGGUCUUGUACACACCGCCCGUCAAGUCAUGAAAGUC